GCGGCAGGCCUAACACAUGCAAGUCGAGCGCACUCUUCGGAGUGAGCGGCGGACGGGUUAGUAACGCGUGGGAACGUGCCCUUCUCUAAGGAAUAGCCACUGGAAACGGUGAGUAAUACCUUAUACGCCCUUCGGGGGAAAGAUUUAUCGGAGAAGGAUCGGCCCGCGUUAGAUUAGAUAGUUGGUGGGGUAACGGCCUACCAAGUCUACGAUCUAUAGCUGGUUUUAGAGGAUGAUCAGCAACACUGGGACUGAGACACGGCCCAGACUCCUACGGGAGGCAGCAGUGGGGAAUCUUGGACAAUGGGCGCAAGCCUGAUCCAGCCAUGCCGCGUGAGUGAUGAAGGCCUUAGGGUCGUAAAGCUCUUUCGCCAGAGAUGAUAAUGACAGUAUCUGGUAAAGAAACCCCGGCUAACUCCGUGCCAGCAGCCGCGGUAAUAC
This 441-nucleotide ribosomal RNA is filed under the name uncultured marine bacterium. RNAcentral describes it as "bacterial SSU rRNA". It matches the Rfam family "Bacterial small subunit ribosomal RNA", at positions 39 to 526 of the family's 1533-position model. The record is from RNAcentral.